This 410-nucleotide ribosomal RNA is filed under the name Enterobacter asburiae. RNAcentral's name for it is "partial 23S ribosomal RNA". It matches the Rfam family "Bacterial large subunit ribosomal RNA", at positions 1 to 451 of the family's 2925-position model. Lineage: Bacteria; Pseudomonadati; Pseudomonadota; Gammaproteobacteria; Enterobacterales; Enterobacteriaceae. The record is from RNAcentral.
GGUUAAGCGACUAAGCGUACACGGUGGAUGCCCUGGCAGUCAGAGGCGAUGAAGGACGUGCUAAUCUGCGAAAAGCGCCGGCGAGGUGAUAUGAACCUUUGACCCGGCGAUGUCCGAAUGGGGAAACCCAGUGUGUUCCGACACACUAUCGUUAACUGAAUACAUAGGUUAACGAGGCGAACCGGGGGAACUGAAACAUCUAAGUACCCCGAGGAAAAGAAAUCAACCGAGAUUCCCCCAGUAGCGGCGAGCGAACGGGGAGCAGCCCAGAGUCUGAAUCAGCUUGUGUGUUAGUGGAAGCGUCUGGAAAGUCGCACGGUACAGGGUGACAGUCCCGUACACGAAAGCACACAGGUUGUGAACUCGAAGAGUAGGGCGGGACACGUGGUAUCCUGUCUGAAUAUGGGGGG